This 465-nucleotide ribosomal RNA is filed under the name uncultured bacterium. RNAcentral describes it as "bacterial SSU rRNA". It matches the Rfam family "Bacterial small subunit ribosomal RNA", at positions 28 to 475 of the family's 1533-position model. The record is from RNAcentral.
GACGAACGCUGGCGGCGUGCCUAAUACAUGCAAGUAGAACGCUGAAGACUUUAGCUUGCUAAAGUUGGAAGAGUUGCGAACGGGUGAGUAACGCGUAGGUAACCUGCCUACUAGCGGGGGAUAACUAUUGGAAACGAUAGCUAAUACCGCAUAACAGCGUUUAACCCAUGUUAGAUGCUUGAAAGGAGCAAUUGCUUCACUAGUAGAUGGACCUGCGUUGUAUUAGCUAGUUGGUGAGGUAACGGCUCACCAAGGCGACGAUACAUAGCCGACCUGAGAGGGUGAUCGGCCACACUGGGACUGAGACACGGCCCAGACUCCUACGGGAGGCAGCAGUAGGGAAUCUUCGGCAAUGGGGGCAACCCUGACCGAGCAACGCCGCGUGAGUGAAGAAGGUUUUCGGAUCGUAAAGCUCUGUUGUAAGAGAAGAACGUGUGUGAGAGUGGAAAGUUCACACAGUGACGG